RNAcentral lists this transfer RNA (64 nucleotides) under Pseudacanthopsylla improvisa. Its description in RNAcentral is "tRNA-Leu". The record is from RNAcentral. Lineage: Eukaryota; Metazoa; Arthropoda; Insecta; Hemiptera; Psyllidae.
CUAAUGUGUCAGAUUCAAUGUAUUAAAUUUAAGAUUUAAUUAUGAAAACACUAUUCCUUUAGUA